GACCACUCCAGUUGGAGUUAAGGCCAUACGGACAGCCGGGUCCACUGCCGA
Molecule: small RNA, 51 nt
Filed under: Massiliimalia timonensis
Lineage: Bacteria; Bacillati; Bacillota; Clostridia; Eubacteriales; Oscillospiraceae
Also listed under: 1 other name
Description: Streptococcus sRNA SpF59 (ldcC RNA)
Rfam family: Streptococcus sRNA SpF59 (ldcC RNA)
Source: RNAcentral